UUAAAUAAGAAAGGGCGUAUGGAGGAUGCCUAGGCAUUAGAAGAUGAAGAAGGACGUGACAAACGACGAAAUGCUUCGGGGAGAUGUAAGUAAUCUUUGAUCCGGAGAUAUCCGAAUGGGGGAACCCACUAGUGGUAAUGCGCUAGUAUCAUAUAAUGAAUAUAUAGUUAUAUAGAGAACAACUCAGUGAACUGAAACAUCUUAGUAACUGAAGGAAAAGAAAGAAAAAUCGAUUUUCUUAGUAGUGGCGAGCGAAAAGGAAAGAGCCCAAACCAGUCUAAGGACUGGGGUUGAAGGACCUCAAUAAACUUGAAGAUCAUAUAGUUGAAUUACCUGGGAAGGUAAACUAUAGAAGGUGAAAGUCCUGUAAGCGAAAUGUGAUUAAAAGUUAGAGGAAUCCUGAGUACGGCGAGGCACGUGGAACCUUGUCGGAAUCAGCGGGGACCAUCCCGCAAGGCUAAAUACUCUCUAAUGACCGAUAGUGAACAAGUACCGUGAGGGAAAGGUGAAAAGAACCCCGGGAGGGGAGUGAAAUAGAAACUGAAACCAUAUGCUUACAAAAAGUUCGAGCCCGUUAAAGGGUGAGAGCGUGCCUUUUGCAGAAUGAACCGGCGAGUUAUUGUAUAAUGCGAGGUUAAGUAGGAGAUACGGAGCCGAAGGGAAACCGAGUUUUAAUAGAGCGAUAUAGUAUUAUGCAAUAGACCCGAAACCGAGUGAUCUAGUCUUGAGCAGGUUGAAGUAAUAGUAAAAUAUUAUGGAGGACCGAACCGAUAUGCCCGGAAACGCGUACGGAUGACUUGAGAUUAGCGGAGAAAUUCCAAUCGAACUCGGAUAUAGCUGGUUCUCCCCGAAAUAGGUUUAGGCCUAGCCUUGAUUUUAUAUAUGUGGAGGUAGAGCACUGAAUGUGCGAUGGCGCCGUCUAGGUGUACUGAGUACAAACAAACUCCGAAUGCCACAUAAGAGUAAUCAGGAGUCAGUGUAUGGGUGAUAACGUCCAUACGCGAAAGGAAAAGAAUCCAGAUCGCCAGUUAAGGUCCCAAAAUUGUGUUAAGUGGAAAAGGAUGUGGAGUUGUAAAAACAGCUAGGAGGUUGGCUUAGAAGCAGCCAUCCUUUAAAGAGUGCGUAAUAGCUCACUAGUCGAGUGAAACUGCGCCGAAGAUGUACCGGGGCUAAACACAAUACCGAAACUGCGGACUUGUACGUAAGUAUGAGUGAUAGGGGAGCGUUGUAAUUGCGAAGAAGGUAUACCGUGAGGAGUGCUGGAGCGAUUAGAAGUGAGAAUGCCGGUGUGAGUAACGAAAAAUGGGUGGAAAUCCCAUUCACCGAUUGACUAAGGGUUCCUGGGUAAAGUUCGUCUUCCCAGGGUAAGUCAGGACCUAAGAUGAGGCCUAAAGGCGUAGUCGAUGGACAAUAGGUAUAUAAUCCUAUACCACCUAUAUAACUGAAGGAGUGACGAAGGAGGCUAGCUAAAGCCAAUUAAUGGAUUUUGGUCUAAGCACAAAGGCUUGUACGGAGUAAAAUGCACGAUACAAAAGAGCUGAAGUGUGAUGGGGAAGUGAUACUUUCGGGUAGAGCGAAGUUAAGUGACGCCAAACUUCCAAGAAAAGCUUCUAGGGCUAAUUAUAUAGGUGCCUGUACCGAUAACCGACACAGGUGGUCAAGGAGAGAAUCCUAAGGUGAGCGAGAGAACUAUGGUUAAGGAACUCGGCAAAAUGACCCCGUAACUUCGGGAGAAGGGGUGGUCAAGAAGAUAAUGCAGUAAUGUAUGAAAAUAAAUUGACCCGCAGUGAAUAGGUCCAGGCAACUGUUUACCAAAAACACAGGUUUCUGCAAACACGAAAGUGGAAGUAUAGGAGCUGACGCCUGCCCAGUGCUGGAAGGUUAAAGGGAAGUGUCCGUAGCAAUACAAAGCACCGAACUGAAGCCCCAGUGAACGGCGGCCGUAACUAUAACGGUCCUAAGGUAGCGAAAUUCCUUGUCAGGUAAGUUCUGACCCGCACGAAAGGCGUAAUGAUCUGGAUACUGUCUCAACCAUAGACUCGGUGAAAUCUUAAUACCUGUGAAAAUGCAGGUUACCCGCGACAGGACGGGAAGACCCCGUGGAGCUUUACUGUAGCUUGAUAUUGGAAUUAGAUUGGUUAUGUAGAGGAUAGGUGGUAGACUAUGAAGUAUAGACGCAAGUCUGUAUGGAGUCGCCCUUGGAAUACCACCCUUGAUUAGUCCAAUUUCUAACCUAGUACCAUAAUCUGGUACAGGGACAGUGUCUGGUAGGCAGUUUGACUGGGGCGGUCGCCUCCUAAAGAGUAACGGA
RNAcentral lists this ribosomal RNA (2311 nucleotides) under human gut metagenome. RNAcentral's name for it is "bacterial LSU rRNA". It matches the Rfam family "Bacterial large subunit ribosomal RNA", at positions 1 to 2304 of the family's 2925-position model. The record is from RNAcentral.